UAAAGCUUCAAACUGGGAUUAGAUACCCCACUAUUCUUGGUCAUAAAAAGAUAUUAGUUUACCAGAGUACUACGAACUAAAAAGUUUAAAACUCAAAGGGCUUGGCGGUGUUUUAGACCUCUUAGGGGAACCUGUCUCAUAAUCGACAAUCCGCGCUAAACCUAACUUCUUUUUGUAAUCAGUAUGUAUACCAUCGUCGUCAGGUAACUUUUAAAAAACUAGAAGUUAGCUAACAAACUAUAUAAGUUUAAACGUCAGAUCAAGGUGCAGUCAAUGAAGGAGUGAGGAUGGGUUACAAUUAUUAAAUUAUAAUUACGAAAUAAUUAAAUGAAUAAAUAAUUAUGAAGGAGGACUUAAAAGUAAACUGAAUUAUAUAAGCAUAUUGAAUUAGGCUCUGAAACGUGCACACACCGCCCGUCACCCUCUGCAGUCAA
Molecule: ribosomal RNA, 434 nt
Filed under: Murex trapa
Lineage: Eukaryota; Metazoa; Mollusca; Gastropoda; Neogastropoda; Muricidae
Description: partial 12S ribosomal RNA
Rfam family: Microsporidia small subunit ribosomal RNA
Source: RNAcentral